UUGGAGGGCAAGUCUGGUGCCAGCAGCCGCGGUAAUUCCAGCUCCAAUAGCGUAUAUUAAAGUUGUUGCAGUUAAAAAGCUCGUAGUUGAAUUUCGGGAUUGGCGCAUCGGUCGUGCCUCACGGGGUAUGAACUGGUGCAGUCAAUUUCUCACCUUCUGGAGAACCGCGAUGUCCUUAAUUGGAUGCCGCGGGGAACCAGGACCUUUACUUUGAAAAAAUUAGAGUGUUUAAAGCAGGCAUUUUUGCUUGAAUACAUUAGCAUGGAAUAAUAAAAUAGGACGGCAUGAUUCUAUUUUGUUGGUUUCUAGGACCACCGUAAUGAUUAAUAGGGAUAGUUGGGGGCAUUAGUAUUCAAUUGUCAGAGGUGAAAUUCUUGGAUUUAUUGAAGACUAACUACUGCGAAAGCAUUUGCCAAGGAUGUUUUCAUUAAUCAAGAACGAAAGUUAGGGGAUCGAAGACGAUCAGAUACCGUCGUAGUCUUAACCAUAAACUAUGCCGACUAGGAAUCAGACGAUGUUAAUUUUUUAAUGACUCGUUUGGCACCUUACGGGAAACCAAAGUGUUUGGGUUC
This 572-nucleotide ribosomal RNA is filed under the name uncultured Glomeromycotina. RNAcentral describes it as "SSU rRNA". It matches the Rfam family "Eukaryotic small subunit ribosomal RNA", at positions 548 to 1114 of the family's 1831-position model. The record is from RNAcentral. Lineage: Eukaryota; Fungi; Glomeromycota.